Long non-coding RNA from Clupea harengus (Atlantic herring), 1040 nucleotides. The record is from Ensembl. NCBI's taxonomy places the organism in Eukaryota, Metazoa, Chordata, Actinopteri, Clupeiformes, Clupeidae.
UAUUCUCUAACAUCGCCGUGUCACUCUGAACAAAAAGCCUUCAUGUUUAAACCGAAAUUAAAGCGUAUCACCAUUUUAGGAUCUGCGUAGCGGGGGAACUUAAACGCGGAAACGUUAUCUCCCUGGUAAGCAUUCGGACAUUUGUUUUGUGUAUUAACCUACCUUAAUUAUGACAUUGGUUAACUAAUUCUUAGUUAGCGGUUUGGAAACAAAUGACGACGUGAUGCGAAAUGUUGCCACAAUGGGCCUUGGUAAUACAACUGAAUCAAAUCCAGCAGGUGAGAAUGACUUAUCCAAGUGUUUGCAUGUAGCCAAUAACUUGUUAUUCUGCGCCGGUUGCGUCGCAUCUGAGAGUUGACAGAGUACUCAGCCCCUGCCUCCACAUAUUACUGACUGUUUAGAUUUUGGAUACAAAAAAUUCAUGAUCACGUUUCAGCCCUCAUGCCUUCUUCAAGUAUAGCUGGACAUAGGUACUGGUAUAUAUAGGCCAAACACAUUCAAAUGUGAUUAGACAAUCAAGCUACCCCAUUCACGAAUCAAAAUUCUUACCAAACCACGAGGAACUGUUUACGAUCAAACAAAUUACUUCAUCUAAAUCUCCAAAAAAAAAGGUAGGCUACAUUACAGAAUCCUCAGCGCGAUAUUUUCAGAGGUUUGUUAAUUUAGAGCUGAGGUUGAAUUGUAUCUAAUCAAAAUGAUGUUUUAAACAACGUUUUGAAAAUUCUUAUGAGACACAAUAGUACUUGUCACUUAGUAAAAAAUGCCUAUGCUCUGUGUUGCCCAGAUAUGUACUUCAGUUAGCAUGCUAACCAGUUAGCCCCAGCCUAUCCUCUCUGAUAAUACCACUUCAUACCUCAAGAGGCGCUAAGCAAUCAAUGUAGUGAAAACAGCAAGACAGCAUAGAUACUGUCACUGGCAUAUGCCCACCCUGUCAGGAAUGUCUUUAAACACUGAAAUGCCAUUUCAGAGACUUAAAUAAUGACAGUUAAAGUGUUUCUUAAUUUGUGGAGUAAUGGAUUGUUAAAUGUUUUGAACUACAG